RNAcentral lists this ribosomal RNA (206 nucleotides) under uncultured bacterium. RNAcentral describes it as "partial 16S ribosomal RNA". It matches the Rfam family "Bacterial small subunit ribosomal RNA", at positions 568 to 774 of the family's 1533-position model. The record is from RNAcentral.
UGCGUAGGCGGGUCUUUAAGUCAGGGGUGAAAUCCUGGAGCUCAACUCCAGAACUGCCUUUGAUACUGAAGAUCUUGAGUUCGGGAGAGGUGAGUGGAACUGCGAGUGUAGAGGUGAAAUCCGUAGAUAUUCGCAAGAACACCAGUGGCGAAGGCGGCUCACUGGCCCGAUACUGACGCUGAGGCACGAAAGCGUGGGAGCAAACA